RNAcentral lists this non-coding RNA (148 nucleotides) under Homo sapiens (human). The record is from Rfam by way of RNAcentral. Lineage: Eukaryota; Metazoa; Chordata; Mammalia; Primates; Hominidae.
GCCGGGCAUGGUGGCACAUGCCUGUAAUCCCAGCUACUCAGGAGGCUGAGGCAGGAGAAUUGCUUGAACCCAGGAGGCAGAGGUUGCAGUGAGCCGAGAUUGUGCCACUGCACUCCAGCCUGGGCGACAGAGCAAGACUCUGUCUCGG